Acinonyx jubatus (cheetah) is the source of this 843-nucleotide long non-coding RNA. RefSeq lists it as uncharacterized. The record is from RefSeq and is a predicted model, not a curated record. The transcript is spliced from 2 exons. Lineage: Eukaryota; Metazoa; Chordata; Mammalia; Carnivora; Felidae.
AUUGUUUAUUUAUUUAUUUUGAGAGAGAGAGUGAGAGAGAGCCCAGGAGAGGGGCAGAAAGAGGGGGGGAGAGACAGAAUCCCAAGCAGGCUCCAUGCUGUCAGCAGAGAUCCCAAUGUGGGGCUCGAACUCCUGCACCGCGAGAUCAUGACCUGAGCCAAAGUCAGCUGCUUCGCUGAUUGAGCCACACAGGUGCCCCUGAUUUACAUUUUUUUAAAAGAUCAUUUCUGGGGCGCCUGGAACAGACCUUAGGCAGUAAGGGUGGAAGUGGGGGCCAGCCAAGAGGCCACUGCAGUAGUCCAAGCAAGAGGUGAAUGGAGACAGGAGCAGGGAUGGGGCAAUGGAAAAUGGUGAGAAGUGCUCAGAUUAUGAGUCUGUUUUGAAGGUUGAGACAAUAGCUCAGGAAACUAAAAGGAUGGGAAGGCCAAUUAUGGAGACAGGGAGACUGGGAAAGUGAUAGAUUUGAAAGGGCAAGUGCAGCGGGCUGAAGAGAGCCCCCCACUCCACACGCACCCCUCCAAAAUUCAUGCCCUGAUCCCUGAAACUUGUGAAUCUGUUAUUUUAUAUGGUAAAAGGAAGGCAUGAUUAAGUUAAGAAUCUUGAGACAGGGCGAUUAUUCUGGAUGAUCAAGAUGGGCCCAAUGCAAUGACAAGGGUCCUGUUAGCUAGAAGGCAGGGGGUCAGUCAGUAGGAGAUGUGACAGUGGAUGCAAGAGUGAUUCAAAGAAGCCAAGGAAUGUGGUGGCUUCUGGAAGCUGGGAAAGCCUUGGAAAUGGAUUCUCCCCUAGAGCCUCCAGAAGGAGCCCAGCCUUGUGGACCCAUUUUAGACUUCUGGUCGGCAGAAC